GCUUUAAAAGCCUCCUGAUGCACCAAUUCAGUCCAUUGUGAGACUGCAGGUCGAGAAGAUGACAGCUCGAGUGUGCUGCGCGUUGAUCAUUGUUUUGUUGUGUCUCUCUGUAUUCUUGAACACAACAGAUGCCAGAAGUCUAACCACAGUGACCUUGGAUAAGGUGUGUGCCAAUCAAAGUGACUGUCUAGGUUUGAUGUGCUGCAGAAAUAUAUGUACACGUGAAUGUACACCUCUAUUUGACUGGUCCUGAUCCAUAACUGACUGAAGUGCUGAGAUCUCAUCCAUGAUGAUCAAUGUCCCGUCAGACAGAAGAGCUGCCCAACCACCUGUGACCAUGUAGCAGCUAACCAUGUCAAUUUAGCCAUCAGGAAUAAGUCUACGAUUUGGUGGUUGUGCUUUCUUUUUUCUUUUCUUUUUUUCCUCCAUGCUAUACAGAGUUGUUAACUGUAAAUGUCUUUUACAUUCAUAAAGAUCUGAGUUUAGUAAAACUUCUGUGUGUAUGUGGUUGGGGUGUGUGGCAUGGAUGUAUCUAAUGCAAAUGAAAGGCAGUCUCCAGUUGACUGGCAGAGAUGAUAAAAGGUGAUUGUGAUGCCAAUAAUACCCUGUGUGAGAGUGCUUUCACUGAAUUUAAUGGGACUAUAGUUGAGGAAAUAAUGGGUAAAAUGGGAUUAGUUUGUCGUAUCAAUGGUAGCAGUACAAGACUGGAUGUAGUGGAUAAUUGUAACUGCUGUAUUUUUCAGUUUUCUUGGUUUUUAUUUUGUGUUUAUGUAACUCAUGUAUUAUUGCAAAUCAGUUUUUACCAUGAAGAUUAGAUGCUGACAUGCCAAUAACAAUAAAGGACUACUACUACUGGA
Long non-coding RNA from Carassius auratus (goldfish), 857 nucleotides. RefSeq lists it as uncharacterized. The record is from RefSeq and is a predicted model, not a curated record. The transcript is spliced from 3 exons. NCBI's taxonomy places the organism in Eukaryota, Metazoa, Chordata, Actinopteri, Cypriniformes, Cyprinidae.